AGAGUUUGAUCAUGGCUCAGAUUGAACGCUGGCGGCAGGCCUAACACAUGCAAGUCGAACGGUAACAGGAAACAGCUUGCUGUUUCGCUGACGAGUGGCGGACGGGUGAGUAAUGUCUGGGAAACUGCCUGAUGGGGGGGGAUAACUACUGGAAACGGUAGCUAAUACCGCAUAACGUCGCAAGACCAAAGAGGGGGACCUUCGGGCCUCUUGCCAUCGGAUGUGCCCAGAUGGGAUUAGCUUGUUGGUGGGGUAACGGCUCACCAAGGCGACGAUCCCUAGCUGGUCUGAGAGGAUGACCAGCCACACUGGAACUGAGACACGGUCCAGACUCCUACGGGAGGCAGCAGUGGGGAAUAUUGCACAAUGGGCGCAAGCCUGAUGCAGCCAUGCCGCGUGUAUGAAGAAGGCCUUCGGGUUGUAAAGUACUUUCAGCGGGGAGGAAGGGAGUAAAGUUAAUACCUUUGCUCAUUGACGUUACCCGCAGAAGAAGCACCGGCUAACUCCGUGCCAGCAGCCGCGGUAAUACGGAGGGUGCAAGCGUUAAUCGGAAUUACUGGGCGUAAAGCGCACGCAGGCGGUUUGUUAAGUCAGAUGUGAAAUCCCCGGGCUCAACCUGGGAACUGCAUCUGAUACUGGCAAGCUUGAGUCUCGUAGAGGGGGGUAGAAUUCCAGGUGUAGCGGUGAAAUGCGUAGAGAUCUGGAGGAAUACCGGUGGCGAAGGCGGCCCCCUGGACGAAGACUGACGCUCAGGUGCGAAAGCGUGGGGAGCAAACAGGAUUAGAUACCCUGGUAGUCCACGCCGUAAACGAUGUCGACUUGGAGGUUGUGCCCUUGAGGCGUGGCUUCCGGAGCUAACGCGUUAAGUCGACCGCCUGGGGAGUACGGCCGCAAGGUUAAAACUCAAAUGAAUUGACGGGGGCCCGCACAAGCGGUGGAGCAUGUGGUUUAAUUCGAUGCAACGCGAAGAACCUUACCUGGUCUUGACAUCCACGGAAGUUUUCAGAGAUGAGAAUGUGCCUUCGGGAACCGUGAGACAGGUGCUGCAUGGCUGUCGUCAGCUCGUGUUGUGAAAUGUUGGGUUAAGUCCCGCAACGAGCGCAACCCUUAUCCUUUGUUGCCAGCGGUCCGGCCGGGAACUCAAAGGAGACUGCCAGUGAUAAACUGGAGGAAGGUGGGGAUGACGUCAAGUCAUCAUGGCCCUUACGACCAGGGCUACACACGUGCUACAAUGGCGCAUACAAAGAGAAGCGACCUCGCGAGAGCAAGCGGACCUCAUAAAGUGCGUCGUAGUCCGGAUUGGAGUCUGCAACUCGACUCCAUGAAGUCGGAAUCGCUAGUAAUCGUGGAUCAGAAUGCCACGGUGAAUACGUUCCCGGGCCUUGUACACACCGCCCGUCACACCAUGGGAGUGGGUUGCAAAAGAAGUAGGUAGCUUAACCUUCGGGAGGGCGCUUACCACUUUGUGAUUCAUGACUGGGGUGAAGUCGUAACAAGGUAACCGUAGGGGAACCUGC
This 1517-nucleotide ribosomal RNA is filed under the name Escherichia coli O104:H4 str. Ec11-9450. RNAcentral's name for it is "bacterial SSU rRNA". It matches the Rfam family "Bacterial small subunit ribosomal RNA". The record is from RNAcentral. Lineage: Bacteria; Pseudomonadati; Pseudomonadota; Gammaproteobacteria; Enterobacterales; Enterobacteriaceae.